This 512-nucleotide ribosomal RNA is filed under the name uncultured Flavobacterium sp. RNAcentral describes it as "bacterial SSU rRNA". It matches the Rfam family "Bacterial small subunit ribosomal RNA", at positions 9 to 516 of the family's 1533-position model. Lineage: Bacteria; Pseudomonadati; Bacteroidota; Flavobacteriia; Flavobacteriales; Flavobacteriaceae. The record is from RNAcentral.
GAGUUUGAUCAUGGCUCAGGAUGAACGCUAGCGGCAGGCUUAACACAUGCAAGUCGAGGGGCAGCACGGUGUAGCAAUACAUUGGUGGCGACCGGCGCACGGGUGCGUAACGCGUAUACAAUUUGCCUUAUACAGGGAGAUAGCCCGGAGAAAUUCGGAUUAAUAUCCCAUAACACUGCGCUAUGGCAUCAUAGUGCAUUUAAAGCUACGGCGGUAUAAGAUGAGUAUGCGUCUGAUUAGCUAGUUGGUGAGGUAACGGCUCACCAAGGCGACGAUCAGUAGGGGGCCUGAGAGGGUUAUCCCCACACUGGAACUGAGACACGGUCCAGACUCCUACGGGAGGCAGCAGUGAGGAAUAUUGGUCAAUGGAGGCAACUCUGAACCAGCCAUGCCGCGUGUAGGAAGAAUGCCCUAUGGGUUGUAAACUACUUUUAUUUGGGAGAAACCCCCUUACGAGUAAGGGGCUGACGGUACCAAAGGAAUAAGGACCGGCUAACUCCGUGCCAGCAGCC